RNAcentral lists this ribosomal RNA (863 nucleotides) under uncultured archaeon SAGMA-17. RNAcentral's name for it is "partial 16S rRNA". It matches the Rfam family "Archaeal small subunit ribosomal RNA", at positions 17 to 859 of the family's 1478-position model. The record is from RNAcentral.
CCGGAGAACACUGCUAUUGGAAUUCGACUAAGCCAUGCAAGUCUACUCUGCAAGCUUUGCAGGGUGGCGUACGGCUCAGUAGCACGUAGUCAAUUUGCCCUCAGGAUGGGUAUAACUUCGGGAAACUGAAGCUAAUCCCCAAUAGAUCAAAAAUGUUGGGAUACUUUUUGAUCGAAAAAGCUCGGAGAAAUGCAUCUGAGUCUGCCUGAGGAUAAGACUGCACCCGAUUAGGUAGUUGGUGGGGUAAAGGCCCACCAAGCCAAUAAUCGGUGGGGGCAAUGGGAGUUGGAGCCCCGAGAAGGGCACAUGAGACAAGGGCCCUAGUCCUACGGGAUGCAGCAGGCGCGAAACCUCCACAAUGCGCGAAAGCGUGAUGGGGGAAUUCCAAGUGAUACUCCACGCGAGUAUCUUUUUCGCAAGUCUACAACGCUUGCGGAAUAAGGGCUGGGUAAGACCGGUGCCAGCCGCCGCGGUAAAACCGGCAGCUCGAGUGGUGUUCACGAAUAUUGGGCCUAAAGAGCACGUAGCUGGCCUUUCAAGUCCCCUGUGAAAUCUUCGAGCUUAACUCGAAGGCGUGCAGAGGAUACUGUUGGGCUUGAGAGUGGGGGAGGUCAAGAGUAUUCAUAGGGUAAGGGUAAAAUCCUGUAAUCUUGUGAAGACUAUCAGUGGCGAAGGCGCUUGACCAAAACACGUCUGACAGUGAGGUGCGAAGGCUAGGAGAACGAAUCGGAUUAGAUACCCGAGUAGCCCUAGCAGUAAAUUAUGCAGACUGUGGUGUUGUAAUAGCCUAGAGCUAUUUCAGUACCGUAGCGUAGGUGUUAAGUCUGCCGCCUGGGGAGUACGGCCGCAAGGUUGAAACUUAA